RNAcentral lists this small nucleolar RNA (60 nucleotides) under Sorex araneus (European shrew). RNAcentral's name for it is "Small nucleolar RNA SNORA68 (ENSSARG00000019072.1)". The record is from RNAcentral. Lineage: Eukaryota; Metazoa; Chordata; Mammalia; Eulipotyphla; Soricidae.
AACCUGAUCGCUUGCCAGUGGGGGGCUGAGGCGAUGCCCCUCAAAGGGAAUCUGGAGGUU